CUGCUUGAUUGUCUGCCAGCCUUUGCCUCCAGUGAUUACUCUUGCUUCCUAAAAAUCAGAUCCUCUCCCCACCAGUGGAACUUGAGGAUGCUACAAGUACAAACAGAGCCCCAGGAAAGCCAAAUGAGGCUGAGAGCAUGGUCUGGGAAGCCAGGGGAGAGCACGUGCCAGAUAAUUGGCAGCAUAAAGAACCCAAGGGUGAUAAAAGAGAUGUAAUGUCACUGUUAUCACCACCCAGGACUCUGGUUGCUACUGGUUGUUGAAGGACAGUGCCUAUUAACUAGAUGUUUUUAGCUGCAUAAUAGACAGUUUGCCAAUAAGAUCAAGUUUACAGCCAGGAGCAUUUCACUUACUAGCCUCUGCCAUAAGAACUACAACCCACACCCAACAACAGGAACAAGAUGUAAAUUGCAAGUAUCAUCACUUGCCCUAAAUGUGAAAUAUCUGUACUCUCUAAAUAAAUUUCUUUUUCCUGGUUGCAGGCUUAA
RNAcentral lists this long non-coding RNA (488 nucleotides) under Mus musculus (house mouse). RNAcentral's name for it is "predicted gene 44892". The record is from RNAcentral. Lineage: Eukaryota; Metazoa; Chordata; Mammalia; Rodentia; Muridae.